GCUCCUCUGUGGGUGGGGAUUUGUUGCACUACUGUAUGUAUGAAAAGUAUUGCACUUGUCCCGGCCUGUGGGUGAAAG
This is a non-coding RNA of Xenopus tropicalis (tropical clawed frog), 78 nucleotides long. The record is from Rfam. Lineage: Eukaryota; Metazoa; Chordata; Amphibia; Anura; Pipidae.